CCUACGGGGGGCUGCAGUGGGGAAUAUUGGACAAUGGGGGCAACCCUGAUCCAGCAAUGCCGCGUGUGUGAAGAAGGCCUUCGGGUUGUAAAGCACUUUUAGCAGGAAAGAAAGGUUGCGCGUUAAUAUCGUGCGGCUUUGACGUUACUUGCAGAAAAAGCACCGGCUAACUCCGUGCCAGCAGCCGCGGUAAUACGGAGGGUGCAAGCGUUAAUCGGAAUUACUGGGCGUAAAGUGCGCGUAGGCGGCUGAAAUCCCCGAGCUCAACUUGGGAACUGCAUUCGUUACUGGUUCGCUAGAGGGUGGUAGAGGGAAGUGGAAUUCCAGGUGUAGCGGUGAAAUGCGUAGAUAUCUGGGGGAACAUCAGUGGCGAAGGCGGCUUCCUGGACCAACACUGACGCUGAGGCGCGAAAGCGUGGGGAGCAAACAGGAUUAGAUACCCGGGUAGUC
Molecule: ribosomal RNA, 450 nt
Filed under: uncultured bacterium
Lineage: Bacteria
Description: partial 16S ribosomal RNA
Rfam family: Bacterial small subunit ribosomal RNA
Source: RNAcentral